Molecule: ribosomal RNA, 253 nt
Filed under: uncultured bacterium
Lineage: Bacteria
Description: partial 16S ribosomal RNA
Rfam family: Bacterial small subunit ribosomal RNA
Source: RNAcentral
UACGUAGGGUGCAAGCGUUGUCCGGAAUUAUUGGGCGUAAAGAGCUCGUAGGCGGUUCGUCACGUCGGCUGUGAAAUCCCGAGGCUCAACCUCGGGUCUGCAGUCGAUACGGGCGGACUGGAGUACUGCAGGGGAGACUGGAAUUCCUGGUGUAGCGGUGAAAUGCGCAGAUAUCAGGAGGAACACCGGUGGCGAAGGCGGGUCUCUGGGCAGUAACUGACGUGGAGGAGCGAAAGCGUGGGGAGCGAACAGG